Long non-coding RNA from Ctenopharyngodon idella (grass carp), 673 nucleotides. RefSeq lists it as uncharacterized. The transcript has 4 exons. The record is from RefSeq and is a predicted model, not a curated record. Lineage: Eukaryota; Metazoa; Chordata; Actinopteri; Cypriniformes; Xenocyprididae.
AAAGACGUACAGUAUACAGCAUGUGAUUUACCCGUUUACACUGAAAAUAUGCCAUUGAUUGUUUUGAAGGUGCAACUGCUUCAGAGUUGAUCAUGUCUAGAUGGUAACCCUGAUUCUGUGAAGUUCACCCAACCACCACUGUGACAGUAUUCAGUCAUUUUCUCUUCUGUAAAAGAUUUACUUUGCCUUCAAGUCGGAAAUAUCGUAAUCACAUGACCGAGCAAAGCUGUAUUUACAGUUGGGAAACUAGAAGACACCCGAGUUGUGGCCAAUGCGAGCAGCAGUAGAGUUCUGCUGGUGCGCGUGUCGGCGUGAUGGUCUCUCAGCUGGAAGAGUUUGGGUGUCAGAAUCGCAGGAGCGAACAGACGCAGGAAGAAAAAGCCACUGAUGGCCAAAUACUUCACAUCCUACAAGAGAGAAACACUGCUUCCUGUGGAGUUGCUAUGGAAACUUGGGCCCUUUGUUUGUCAUCGGCGCGGCACAAACGCAACAUAAAACACCAGCCGAGUGUGAAAAACCCACGCGCUCCCAGAAUCACACAAAACAUCAUUAAUGAGAGAGGAGAAGUUCAGAGAUGACUUCACGGCAGCGAGGGGAACUGUGUGUAAAUAUAGCGGGACUGAAGUCAUCAUGUCGCCUACACACAGGAAAACCACUAAUCAAACACACACAC